Molecule: long non-coding RNA, 473 nt
Filed under: Musa acuminata (dwarf banana)
Lineage: Eukaryota; Viridiplantae; Streptophyta; Magnoliopsida; Zingiberales; Musaceae
Description: long non-coding RNA (MACU_LNC006283)
Source: RNAcentral
GGUGUGCAAAGACAGAAAUAGGGUGGUCUAUGACCUCUAACCAACCAUCCUAGGAACUUUUAACUUUGCACUAUUGGGAAAAUUUUGGUGGAAGAACUUAACCGAUAGAAAACUGUUGUGCAAGAGUGUGCUAUGGUAAAUGUGCUUUAUGUGAAGAGAACCUCAUGGAACAAUUGAGAUAUAGGAACAUGAAGUUCUGUUAUUUUGAGAGGCCAUCUGAACUAUAAGAUGAAUUCACAAUUGAAGUUGUUGGAAAGAUGGCUAUCACUUGACCGAUUGUUACAGACCUCUGGUAACUAGAGCAGCUUAGGUUAAUGCAACAUUUUGGGGCAUUCAAUCGACUCACUAUUUUCAUUUCAGCUUGCUACUGAGACACCAAUUUUCCUUGAGCCUUGCCUUAUCAGUAUCUCUUUCAUCUGUCAACCCUAAUAAUAAUUUGACUUUUAAUUCAUAGUCAGCCCUCUUGUCCACCA